CUGCGCCACGAGUGGCAAUCAUGUUUAUUGGGCCUAAAGCGUUCGUAGCCGGAUCUAUAAGUCUUGGGUGAAAUCGUUGCGCUUAACAAAACGACGUGCUUGAGAUACUGUCGAUCUAGGGACCGGGAGGAGUUAGGGGUAUUCCUGAGGGAGCGGUAAAAUGCUAUAAUCUCAGGAGGACCACCUGUGGCGAAGGCGCCUAACUAGAACGGGUCCGACGGUGAGGAACGAAAGCUAGGGGAGCAAACCGGAUUAGAUACCCGAGUAGUCC
RNAcentral lists this ribosomal RNA (271 nucleotides) under uncultured archaeon. RNAcentral describes it as "partial 16S ribosomal RNA". It matches the Rfam family "Archaeal small subunit ribosomal RNA", at positions 477 to 747 of the family's 1478-position model. The record is from RNAcentral.